GUUACUCCAGUGUGCUGAAGCAUUUGGGUUGACAUCUCAGCUGAAAGGAUUUGCUGCCACUGAUGCUAUAAUCAUCUAUAAGUCCUGGCUGACCUUGCUUCUAAAGGUGAAGGUGGAAAACAAUAGCAGGGGAGCAAAUGCUGAGCAUAUUUCAAGCACAAUAAUGGGAAAUGCUGAUGACCUCCCAUUGCCACCCAGUCCUUUUCCUGCCCCUGGCAAGACCUCUGAUUUCUCCCCACCACUGUGCUGCUGGCCUCUCCAACAAGGCAGCCUAUUGAUGCAGAGAGGAAAUGCCUGGCAAUCCCAGUGAAGGAGUCACAAGCACCACCUCUUAAACAGAUUUUUGGCAGGAAUGAUCUAACUGCUCGUGGUAGAUAAACUGCUAGUUUCCAGUUCUUUGCCAGUGAAGAAAGGAUUAUGCUUCCCCUCCCCUUCUCUUUUUCAUUCUAAGUGAGAGGUUAAUGAAAUGUCCCUCCAGGAUGAAUGAAAGCACAGGAAUCCUUUGUUGGACUGGAGCCUGCCAUGGAUGUGCUCCCUGGGAAGGAUCCUCCCACCAUUACCUUUGCUGUCUGGGGAUUGAAUUCAUUAUGCUCAGUGCAGCCUGCUUGAAAGGGACAUCAGGUAA
Calypte anna (Anna's hummingbird) is the source of this 625-nucleotide long non-coding RNA. RefSeq lists it as uncharacterized. The transcript is spliced from 5 exons. Lineage: Eukaryota; Metazoa; Chordata; Aves; Apodiformes; Trochilidae. The record is from RefSeq and is a predicted model, not a curated record.